This 445-nucleotide ribosomal RNA is filed under the name uncultured bacterium. RNAcentral describes it as "bacterial SSU rRNA". It matches the Rfam family "Bacterial small subunit ribosomal RNA", at positions 338 to 795 of the family's 1533-position model. The record is from RNAcentral.
CCUACGGGGGGCAGCAGUGGGGAAUAUUGCACAAUGGACGCAAGUCUGAUGCAGCAACGCCGCGUGAGGGACGAAGGCCUUCGGGUUGUAAACCUCUUUUAGCAGGGAAGAAGCGAAAGUGACGGUACCUGCAGAAAAAGCACCGGCUAACUACGUGCCAGCAGCCGCGGUAAUACGUAGGGUGCAAGCGUUGUCCGGAAUUAUUGGGCGUAAAGAGCUCGUAGGCGGUUUGUCACGUCUGCUGUGAAAUUUCGAGGCUCAACCUCGAACUUGCAGUGGGUACGGGCAGGCUAGAGUGCAGUAGGGGAGAUGGGAAUUCCUGGUGUAGCGGUGGAAUGCGCAGAUAUCAGGAGGAACACCAAUGGCGAAGGCACAUCUCUGGGCUGUAACUGACGCUGAGGAGCGAAAGCGUGGGGAGCGAACAGGAUUAGAUACCCGAGUAGUC